RNAcentral lists this ribosomal RNA (402 nucleotides) under uncultured bacterium. RNAcentral describes it as "bacterial SSU rRNA". It matches the Rfam family "Bacterial small subunit ribosomal RNA", at positions 355 to 774 of the family's 1533-position model. The record is from RNAcentral.
UCGGGAAUUUUGGGCAAUGGGCGAAAGCCUGACCCAGCAACGCCGCGUGAGGGAUGAAGUAUUUCGGUAUGUAAACCUCGAAAGAAUGGGAAGAAUAAAUGACGGUACCAUUUAUAAGCUCCGGCUAACUACGUGCCAGCAGCCGCGGUAAUACGUAGGGAGCAAGCGUUGUUCGGAUUUACUGGGCGUAAAGGGCGCGUAGGCGGCGCGGUAAGUCACUUGUGAAAUCUCUGAGCUUAACUCAGAACGGCCAAGUGAUACUGCUGUGCUAGAGUGCGGAAGAGGCAACCGGAAUUCUUGGUGUAGCGGUGAAAUGCGUAGAUAUCAAGAGGAACACCUGAGGCGAAGGCGGGUUGCUGGGCCGACACUGACGCUGAUGCGCGAAAGACAGGGGAGCAAACG